Molecule: ribosomal RNA, 524 nt
Filed under: Bifidobacterium breve
Lineage: Bacteria; Bacillati; Actinomycetota; Actinomycetes; Bifidobacteriales; Bifidobacteriaceae
Description: bacterial SSU rRNA
Rfam family: Bacterial small subunit ribosomal RNA
Source: RNAcentral
GGGUGGUAAUGCCGGAUGCUCCAUCACAUCGCAUGGUGUGUUGGGAAAGCCUUUGCGGCAUGGGAUGGGGUCGCGUCCUAUCAGCUUGAUGGCGGGGUAACGGCCCACCAUGGCUUCGACGGGUAGCCGGCCUGAGAGGGCGACCGGCCACAUUGGGACUGAGAUACGGCCCAGACUCCUACGGGAGGCAGCAGUGGGGAAUAUUGCACAAUGGGCGCAAGCCUGAUGCAGCGACGCCGCGUGAGGGAUGGAGGCCUUCGGGUUGUAAACCUCUUUUGUUAGGGAGCAAGGCAUUUUGUGUUGAGUGUACCUUUCGAAUAAGCACCGGCUAACUACGUGCCAGCAGCCGCGGUAAUACGUAGGGUGCAAGCGUUAUCCGGAAUUAUUGGGCGUAAAGGGCUCGUAGGCGGUUCGUCGCGUCCGGUGUGAAAGUCCAUCGCUUAACGGUGGAUCCGCGCCGGGUACGGGCGGGCUUGAGUGCGGUAGGGGAGACUGGAAUUCCCGGUGUAACGGUGGAAUGUGUA